UGAACAAGAAAAAUAUGGGUU
Caenorhabditis elegans is the source of this 21-nucleotide non-coding RNA. NCBI's taxonomy places the organism in Eukaryota, Metazoa, Nematoda, Chromadorea, Rhabditida, Rhabditidae. The record is from Ensembl.